Molecule: long non-coding RNA, 1365 nt
Filed under: Phasianus colchicus (ring-necked pheasant)
Lineage: Eukaryota; Metazoa; Chordata; Aves; Galliformes; Phasianidae
Description: lncRNA (ENSPCLG00000022273.1)
Source: RNAcentral
AGAUAUUGUGUUUGAGCACCAGUAAGUUAAUAUAAUGUCAGCUUUUGUACCAUUUUAGCCUUUAAAAAAAAAAAAUCUCUCUAGGAAAAAACAACUUCUGCAAAAAGAAGCUUGUGAAUCUUUGAAAAAGCAAUAAAUGGCAGACAUUUCUAACAUGUUGGUGGUGGGGAGGGAGGGAAAAAGUCUAGGGACAGAAAGGAUGUCUAGCUACCAUGCUAAGCCUUUUAGAACGUGACCAUUUUAUUAUGAAUUGAGGCAUACAACUGCUGGUCUUCAAACUUUCAGUGAACACCUAUUCUUCAAUUGUUGUUAUUUUUUUACUCCCAGCUUUGUUGACAUCAUUUGUCUUUCCUUUGUUGCUGUUCUUCACUCACUUAGGUACUUUCCCUUACUUGCAGCAUUAGACAUUCAGUGCUGCACCGCUUCUUUUUCAGUGUACUAGCUGUUAAAAAAAAAGAAUGAAGUGUAUGCUGACUAAGCCCUUUUUUUCUUUUUUGAAAGGAAGUGAGGCAGAGCUGUAAAAUCUGAAAAAGAGCAAAGGAGUGAGGUCCUCUGUCCAGUUGUUAGCUGUCUGGAGACCACACUUCAGUCUUGUGGAUUUGCCAGUAUGCUGUAUCAACACCCAAGGUUGACUGAAAGCAUUCAUUCAAGAAGCUAACCUAUAGGAACAUGUAUCAGCUUUUGCUAAUGAACUCUGUGUCAAGGUUCAUCUGUGUUCAGAAAUAUCAAGUACAGUAUGCUCUGAUCAGCAGCACAAACCACAGAGAGUGCCCAGCAGAUGCCCAAAUGCUAUGUUUUCCAUCUCAUUUCGAUAUCCUUGACUCAUGCAUCCUGUCUAAGCUAAUGUUAGUUUCCUGACUGCAGUGUGUCCGCAGCCCUGGGCUGCCAACAAGCGCUUGAGCCAUCCCAGAAAGAUCACUACUCCUCCAUUUUGCUGUGCUUUUAAUGGCUCUCUCAAAGCUACCUCGUUACACCAGCUUAAAUCUGGAAUCUCUAGAUUUACACUGGAAUAGAGGAGCACUUUUCCCUCCAGUUUUAAAAAAUUAAUUUUGAUGUGACGGUCUAGACCAUUCAGCUUUGACUUGACAUCUUGGAAGAAAAUAAGCUACUACCACGAGCAGUUGCAUUAAUCAUUCACCUUACACAAUCACAUCCUCCCCCUUGAAUGAAACAGCCCUGAACAGAAAGAUCUGAACUGGAAUAGACCCACUGCUUUUUGUAAGAUCCCUGCAUCUCCAUUUCCCUGAUAACCUGAACUUCUCCUCUCCAAACUGCUGUUGUGUAUGAGAUAGCAUAGCACUGACUUUGCAUUGCUUAUUUGCAAAAACUAAUAAAAUUUAAACAACCUUUUUAGGCUAGACUUCA